Colossoma macropomum (tambaqui) is the source of this 1382-nucleotide long non-coding RNA. RefSeq lists it as uncharacterized. The record is from RefSeq and is a predicted model, not a curated record. The transcript is spliced from 4 exons. Lineage: Eukaryota; Metazoa; Chordata; Actinopteri; Characiformes; Serrasalmidae.
GUCGAGUGGCUGUGGUGUUGUAGCGACAGAGAAGCAGGAACUAGCUCGCUCACUGCGCUCUGUGAUGGGUGGGGCUGUUAGCUUGGUGGCCAGCAGGCUAACGGGCUCUCACACCACAGAGCAGAUUAGAUGCUUCUCUCACAGAGUUUGGGGAGUAAAACAGCAUCUGAGGGAGAAACGUCGAGUAUAGUACAGCUGAAACAGUAGUUAGGUUAAUGAGGCCCACUGAGCUGCGAUUUGGUACCAAGCUCUCGAGUGAGGUUACUGUCCUAACCUAUAUCAGGCUGAAGUUAGUAACAUCUGUUCUUCUUCUUAUGUCCCUGUUUUCAGGCUUAGCCAGAUCUUUUCUACCUCCAGCAUUUCUCAGGCCCCCUACCCACUCCCCACAUUUGCAGCUUCAGGAGCCUUUUCACCAGGAAUAAACAAAGUACAAAAUUCCAGACUUGAGUAAAAGUAGAAAUUUACUUAAUUAAAUAGAAAAGUAUUUGUCUUUACUUACAAAAGUUCUUGCUUUAAAAAGGAGACUUUAAUCAGAAAUUUUAAUGCAUCAAAACAAUACUAUUGGUUAUUUUUUAUUUUAUUUAUUUACAAAAGUCAUUAUACUUCAAGAUUGUGGCAAAAUAAGAAUUUUGUCUCAUAUACACAAAGAAAUUGUGGACAUUAGCAAGAUAAACUAGCAAAGUGAAAAGGAUAAACAUGAACUAACAAAGUUCCACUUUGAUUCAGGUUGACUUUAAAUGUACUUGAUCAAAAUAUCAUAAGUAAAAGUAGUACAGAGUGUUAUUGCAGUUAUAUCAUUUUGGCGGAUACUUUCUGUGAAGGAGUCCUGUGUGGCUGCAGACAUUACCUGUUCAUGUCUGUAUCCACCUGGGUCUCCUUAACAGAAAGUAUUCACCAAAAUGAUAUAUUUUCUAUGGUAGCUUAGAGUGCUUGUACUUCUGAUACUUAUGUACUCAACUUAAGUGCAAAUGUUGACUGAACACCUUUACACAAGUAGUAUUCAACCCAGAGCACUUCUGCUUUUACUCAAGUUACUAACACCAGUCUUACACAACAACUAAGAAGUUGAGUACUUUGUCCACCCUGCUCCUCGCUGACCACCUACUCCAGAAGAAGCCAGAAAAAUCUCUAUGAUGCAGUCAUGAGGAAUCCGUCUUCACAAACUGCAGGUGACAAAGAAAUUGACCAGAGACCACAUCUGUUAAGAGUUGAGUGUAUUUAGCAGAGAGGGUCAUGCCGGUCAGUAGUGAACACCUGAUGGUCAACAUGUGAGUCCUCAUGCAGAACUGGCGACAGUGCACACUUUAAGUCUCAGUCAUCAUCCAACAUCAUGUCCGUGUGAGACUCUGUCCCAUAUUGAUCCCCCUCUUCGGUCAAGUGAC